GCGGGUUUAGCUCAGUUGGGAGAGCGUCAGACUGAAGUCCACUUCGGUUGUUUCUCACGUACAAUUUCUGGUUAUUAGACUGGAGUACCGUGAAGCAAUGAUAUCUGAAGGUCAUGUGUUCGAUCCACAUAAACCGCA
Non-coding RNA from Rhypophila decipiens, 138 nucleotides. Lineage: Eukaryota; Fungi; Ascomycota; Sordariomycetes; Sordariales; Naviculisporaceae. The record is from the annotation of a GenBank genome assembly.